CUCCUACCCCCAGGGAGGCUGAAGCCAGCUCUCCAUGGGCACGAAACCUGGAACCCAGGACCCUGGGGGGCAGGGCUAUGCUGGACUAGAGAAGACACAGGUGGCCAAAGCUGGACCCAGCCCUCAGGGAACAGAUAACCUGCGUGAGAAACAAAUAAUUGAUUCUGCCCUUUAUCCCUCCCGGGCCAGCACGGAGGGGUUCAGCCAAUGACUGGGAAUUGAAUGAAAAACCAAAGAGAACAGCCAUGAGAUCUGUCUGCUAUGGGUGGGAAAGCAGAUGGGAGAGUGAGAAGGGCUUCAAGGAGAAGGUGAUAUGUGAACAGGGCAUAAAUGGAUGAAUAGGAGUUUGCCAGGCACAGAAAGGGAAGGACAUUCCAGGGGAAGCAGGCAGAGGCCUGGCAAGGCAAAGGCCAGGAGGAUUGCAAGUAAAGUCAUGGUAUGAGCAGAAAACAAGAGAGGUCCAGUUGCC
Molecule: long non-coding RNA, 469 nt
Filed under: Homo sapiens (human)
Lineage: Eukaryota; Metazoa; Chordata; Mammalia; Primates; Hominidae
Description: long non-coding RNA NONHSAT160424.1
Source: RNAcentral